This is a non-coding RNA of Pelobates cultripes (western spadefoot toad), 490 nucleotides long. The record is from the annotation of a GenBank genome assembly. Lineage: Eukaryota; Metazoa; Chordata; Amphibia; Anura; Pelobatidae.
AAUGGUUCACGGAAUAUCGUCGUUCUCGUGGCGAAAUUUGUCCCAUAGGAAUGAAUGGCAAAGCUAGAGUGGGAGCUGGCAAAAGCUGAAAAAUCAGGACAUGAUUUCUAAACUGCCACCACUCCCUCAUUUUCAAGCCCACCUACACAAAUCUUAUAUCAAAACGUUCAGCUAUCCCUGCUGCCACUAAACAUGUCAACGGCUUAGCUAUAGUACUGAUAGUUUUCACGAUAUAAUCAUUUGUUUGCAACUAACGACAUCCAUUGACUUUCAUUGAAACUUCACUCUGCAAAGAUCAAAUUUGAAGUGCAAUUUCUAAACUGCGACUGUGCCUUCAAUUUUAAUACUUCAGAGACAUACUAUGCAUCAAAAUGUAGGUCUGGGUCUUGUGAUUCUCACAAUAUAAAGCUCUUCGCUGUAGGAUUUAUAGUUUUUAAAAUAUGACCGUUUGAAGAUGGCAACCACCAAAAUACUCUGACCUGUUAAGGCU